This is a long non-coding RNA of Musa acuminata AAA Group (dessert banana), 946 nucleotides long. RefSeq lists it as uncharacterized. The record is from RefSeq and is a predicted model, not a curated record. NCBI's taxonomy places the organism in Eukaryota, Viridiplantae, Streptophyta, Magnoliopsida, Zingiberales, Musaceae. The transcript is spliced from 5 exons.
GGUUACCCAAAAAUUAUCUUUGCGCUUGGGGCAAUGUCGCAGCUAGUGAGGUUAUAACCGAGGCGCGACAAUUGCUGGUUGAAAACUAUUUCCAAACCCCCUCGUAGGCCUGGGUUCAGCCCAGCGCUUUCGAGAAUUUCUGGAAGGGCUCCCUCUAACCAAGGGUAAAGCCCUGCAAUACUUAAUUGCCAGACGCGUUGUUCCUCUCCAGAAUUGGUGCUGAAUAACCCCCGAUUCGGCGCUUCCGGCUCUGUUAUUUGGCGAUUAGCCUCAGCUAUUCAUUCCGCUGCCGCAUGAUUCUUCUCCUUUUCCCCGUCGCUGCCCUCGGCUCUUCUUGUCCCCUUGAUUGAGCCGUAGUGAUUGCGGUUAAAGGUUCCGGGUCAUAAAGAAUCGAUGGAGAGACAUCUACCUAUUCUGCUUAUAGAUCUGCUUGUACUGCACAAGGGGAAGAGCGUGAAUUACUCCUGCUAUGAUUGCUGCAACCCAUCACCUACUCUUACUGCCUCAGCAGAGGAAUCUACAAAACCAAGAAGCACCCAAAACUCCGGGUCAAUUUGACAGGACUGCUGUAUUAGCAACUCAAACUAGCAGGUCCAAUUAUUCCCCUGGCAGGCGCUCUUUGGAAAAUAUACUUCUCCAUUUUUUCUUACCUUAUAACAUCUCUCUAUCGUGGCCACUUUUUAUACAAGAUCUCUGCUAUCCAAUCGACUCGGGUUCGUCAAGACAGAUCAGGGCCAUCAGAUCUCUGCUUUCUCAAUGAGGAAAGGAAACCAUGCUGUUCAUAGAGUGAUAACAAUGGAUAGACUUGACAUUGAUAUGGGAGCUUUUAUUUGGAUCUGAAAAGAUUGCCUUCUUUUUUUCUCUUCCUUUCCCUUUUUUUUUUGUCAACUUUGUAACUGUUCAUGAAGAAAUUAAUAUCUAGAAUAACAAAUAUUAUACUUUCAAA